CCAGACUCCUACGGGAGGCAGCAGUGGGGAAUAUUGCACAAUGGGGGGAACCCUGAUGCAGCGACGCCGCGUGGGUGAAGGAGUAUUUCGGUAUGUAAAGCCCUAUCAGCAGGGAAGAACAAUGACGGUACCUGACUAAGAAGCACCGGCUAAAUACGUGCCAGCAGCCGCGGUAAUACGUAGGGGGCAAGCGUUAUCCGGAUUUACUGGGAGUAAAGGGAGCGUAGGCGGUUUAGCAAGUCAGAAGUGAAAGCCCGGGGCUCAACUCCGGGACUGCUUUUGAAACUGUUGAACUAGAUUGCAGGAGAGGUAAGUGGAAUUCCUAGUGUAGCGGUGAAAUGCGUAGAUAUUAGGAGGAACACCAGUGGCGAAGGCGGCUUACUGGACUGUAAAUGACGCUGAGGCUCGAAAGCGCGGGUAGCGAACGGGAUUAGAUACCCCUGUAG
RNAcentral lists this ribosomal RNA (446 nucleotides) under uncultured bacterium. RNAcentral's name for it is "bacterial SSU rRNA". It matches the Rfam family "Bacterial small subunit ribosomal RNA", at positions 331 to 793 of the family's 1533-position model. The record is from RNAcentral.